Molecule: unclassified non-coding RNA, 250 nt
Filed under: Hevea brasiliensis (rubber tree)
Lineage: Eukaryota; Viridiplantae; Streptophyta; Magnoliopsida; Malpighiales; Euphorbiaceae
Source: RNAcentral
UUUUUUUUUUUUUUUUUUUUUACACCCAAAAAGAAAUUAAUAAAUAAAUAAAUACCUCAGAAACUAUAAAAAAAUAAUCCGCAAUUUGGUAAAACAGACUAAUUCUUUCAGUUUGCAAGUAACUGAAUGUCUAGUAAAGAAGAGUUCUUAUCAAUAUUAAUCAUUGUGACAAAUAACCAAGAAGCUGACUUCAGGGUCCCUUCAUUUUAUGCAGUCCCACAGCAGAUGGCGUAAAACCAUUGCACUAUUA